UACGUAGGGGGCAAGCGUUAUCCGGAAUUAUUGGGCGUAAAGGGUACGUAGGCGGCUGGUCAAGUCUGGGGUCAAAGGCCACAGCUCAACUGUGGGAAGGCCCUGGAAACUGACCGGCUAGAGUGAGGUAGGGGUUGCGGGAAUUCCCGGUGUAGCGGUGAAAUGCGUAGAGAUCGGGAAGAACACCUGAGGCGGAAGCGCGCAACUGGGCCUCAACUGACGCUGAGGUACGAAAGCUAGGGGAGCGAAUGGG
RNAcentral lists this ribosomal RNA (253 nucleotides) under uncultured bacterium. RNAcentral's name for it is "partial 16S ribosomal RNA". It matches the Rfam family "Bacterial small subunit ribosomal RNA", at positions 524 to 776 of the family's 1533-position model. The record is from RNAcentral.